GUUAGUUUAAGAUUUCAUCCAGUUGAAAAGAUUUGAGAACAAGAAGAGGAUACAAAUUUUAGAAUAAGGUGUAAUGACUCACGAGAUUUAUGCUACAUGUUUUCUUAUUCAUGAUUUAUGGGAUUCAGAUUUCAGUUUUUGCUCAAGUUAUGUGAGUCAUUUAUAUCAGCAUGCAUGAUUUCUAUAAAGAGUGAUGAUAUUGUUUAACUAUUGCAUACACCCCCA
RNAcentral lists this long non-coding RNA (225 nucleotides) under Capsicum annuum. RNAcentral describes it as "long non-coding RNA (CANN_LNC001830)". The record is from RNAcentral. Lineage: Eukaryota; Viridiplantae; Streptophyta; Magnoliopsida; Solanales; Solanaceae.